Molecule: transfer RNA, 63 nt
Filed under: Podarcis lilfordi (Lilford's wall lizard)
Lineage: Eukaryota; Metazoa; Chordata; Lepidosauria; Squamata; Lacertidae
Rfam family: tRNA
About the family: Transfer RNA (tRNA) molecules are approximately 80 nucleotides in length. Their secondary structure includes four short double-helical elements and three loops (D, anti-codon, and T loops).
Source: Rfam by way of RNAcentral
GGGGACAUGGCUCAGUGGUAGAGCAUCUGCUUUGCAUGUAGAAGGUCCUAAAUCCGCUCCCCA